UACGAAGGGGGCUAGCGUUGCUCGGAAUCACUGGGCGUAAAGCGCACGUAGGCGGACUCUUAAGUCGGUGGUGAAAUCCUGGAGCUCAACUCCAGAACUGCCUUCGAUACUGGCGGUCUCGAGUCCGGGAGAGGUGAGUGGAACUGCGAGUGUAGAGGUGAAAUUCGUAGAUAUUCGCAAGAACACCAGUGGCGAAGGCGGCUCACUGGCUCGGUACUGACGCUGAGGUGCGAAAGCGUGGGGAGCAAACAGG
Molecule: ribosomal RNA, 253 nt
Filed under: uncultured bacterium
Lineage: Bacteria
Description: partial 16S ribosomal RNA
Rfam family: Bacterial small subunit ribosomal RNA
Source: RNAcentral